CUGAAUACAAUGAGAAACCAUACUUGUUCCAUUUCAAAUAUAUGGUCAGAUUCAGACAACACAUAAAUGUUGUCUGAAAAGAUGGAAAUUUUCUAAAAUGAACCCUAGCAAAAAUUUUAGAUUUCCCUCCAACAAAUUAAAGUUUUUUCCCUCUCAAUUGCCCAAACUCUAUAGCUGACUAGUCAAUGGGUGAUAUUCAGACAACACAUCUAAGAAAUUGUGUUGUCUGAAUGAGGUGAGUUUGACUGUUUUGAUUUUAAGUCUCUUUUGGCAAAACACAAAACCUUCUUGUUUUUCAUUCCCACAAACAUUAACUCUGUCUAAAACUCUCUCAGCAACCAAAAACUCGAAGCUCACGGUGUUUGGAGGAAAACUCAGCCAUCGAUAUCUCUCAAAACUCGGCCAUCUCUCAAAUCUGAGAAUCCUUACCCAAAUCUAGUCUCUCCCUCAACCCCAACAUACUUGCUGUUUCCAUUUGCGUCUGGCUUAAUGGAAUUCUCCACCAGCGACUCAGGAGAUUAGAGGAGGCUUGACUAUUAUUUUUUCGUUUGGGUUAUUGGUAAGCCAAAACCGGGUAGAGCGACAUCAACUAUCCAAGCAUCGAGUGUUCGGAAAUCAGAUCAGACCAUCAAUUCGCAUCAUCAAUUAUUCGACAGUGUCAAGAGUGCGGAUUUGGGCAAAUCUGGGUGUCUUUAUCAGUUUAUGUUUGCGGAUCUUGGAGCCCAACACUGCAAUAGCGGCUGCAAUAUUUGAAUUAAAAGGAAAUGUUUGAGUAUCGUAGCGGAAAGCAUUGUUAACUUUUAGGUUGAUUAUAGCAAUCACAAUUUACUGGCUAUUG
Molecule: long non-coding RNA, 838 nt
Organism: Rosa chinensis
Lineage: Eukaryota; Viridiplantae; Streptophyta; Magnoliopsida; Rosales; Rosaceae
Exons: 4
Source: RefSeq, a predicted model, not a curated record